UACCAGCACCCCGAGUGGUCGGGACGUUUAUUGGGCCUAAAGCAUCCGUAGCCGGUUCUACAAGUCUUCCGUUAAAUCCACCUGCUCAACAGAUGGGCUGCGGAAGAUACUAUGGAGCUAGGAGGCGGGAGAGGCAAGCGGUACUCGAUGGGUAGGGAUAAAAUCCGUUGAUCCAUUGAAGACCACCAGUGGCGAAGGCGGCUUGCCAGAACGCGCUCGACGGUGAGGGAUGAAAGCUGGGGGAGCAAACCGG
This 253-nucleotide ribosomal RNA is filed under the name uncultured bacterium. RNAcentral's name for it is "partial 16S ribosomal RNA". It matches the Rfam family "Archaeal small subunit ribosomal RNA", at positions 474 to 727 of the family's 1478-position model. The record is from RNAcentral.